GCGCAAUGAUAUGAAGGACCCACCCUGCGUAUCAGGGAAAAAAGAGGUGGCACAUUUUGGCUUUCCCAUCAGAAGCCACACCUAUGGCACCUAUGUGCCCACCACCCCUCCAGGAUAACAAGAGAAAGAAAUUUGUGUCAGUAAGGACUUGGGUUUGGACAGUUGAUGGACCCAUCUGUCUACUCCCAGUUCCCAUGAACUCACCAUCAACUGGACACACAGGCACACCCAACACCACAAAAUAUCAGGGCAUAGAGAAGAAGGAUUCCAGCACGGAUUCAGAAGAGCUGGAACGUUUUGCCUAUUACUUAAACCACAUCAGGACCGAACACAUCAAUCAUACAUAACAGGUCUCUGUAAGUGAGGACUGAGAACCCACCCCCUGGCUACAAGUCCAGCAGGUGAAAAGGAAUGAAAUUGUGUGUCGGUGGGGAGUCGGAUUAAGACAGCCUAGGUUCCAUCCGUCUGUUUCCACUCCCCAUUCAAUCAACAUCAACUGGACACACAUGAGAAUAGUCUCAAAGAUAAGGAUCUAAAUAAGGAAGAACUUAAGAAGACAUCUCUUUCAGACAGGAUUUGAGAUGGUAUAUGCAAAGUUGACACACCUAUAUUUUUUACUCAAACUUCAACCAAAUUGGAACCCAAUUUGUGUCUCAAGACUCAGGCAAAGACUCAGGCAUGACUCUCAGAUCUCAUUGCUGUAAACUGUCACCCAUCAUGAAGCUUUUCACGGCCUUCCUCCCUGUUUUACCCUCCCUUUAUUGAUCUUCCUCUAACUUUCACUCAAUAUUAAACACUUAUU
Alosa alosa (allis shad) is the source of this 802-nucleotide long non-coding RNA. RefSeq lists it as uncharacterized. NCBI's taxonomy places the organism in Eukaryota, Metazoa, Chordata, Actinopteri, Clupeiformes, Clupeidae. The record is from RefSeq and is a predicted model, not a curated record. The transcript is spliced from 3 exons.